Molecule: ribosomal RNA, 393 nt
Filed under: Oestophora tarnieri
Lineage: Eukaryota; Metazoa; Mollusca; Gastropoda; Stylommatophora; Trissexodontidae
Description: partial 16S ribosomal RNA
Source: RNAcentral
UUCCUGCUCAAUGAAAAUUAAAUAGCCGCAGUACACUGACUGUGCAAAGGUAGCAUAAUCAAUUGGCCUAUAAUUGAGGUCUGGAAUGAAUGGAUUUUUGGGAAAUUACUGUCUCUUUAUAAUUAUCGAAUUUAAUUAUUAAGUGUAAAUGCUUAUAAAUAUAUAAUAGACGAGAAGACCCUAGAAAUUUUUUAUAAGAAAUAUUAUUUUUACUAUUUUGUUGGGGCGACAGAAUUGCAAUUAACCUAUUUAAUUUUAUUAGAAGUUUAUCAGAAUAAUUAAUUACUCUAGGGAUAACAGCAUUAUUAUUUUAUAGAUUGUGACCUCGAUGUUGGAUUAGGGACUUUACUGUUCAGAAGAUAUAUAUGUAGCUCUGUUCGAGCUUUAUACCCU